CAGUCGUACCUGCGGGUAAUCAGCCUUUUGGGCAUGAUUCUGUGGAGCGUGAGGAGUUAAACGCCUUCAUGCCUGCAUAUUCGUGCUCUUGGGUGUACUUGCUCGUGUGGUUGGUUAACAUCAAUUUCGGUUAUCAUAAAAUGACUGGAGGAAUGUAGCUUCGAUCUCGUAUUGAAGUGUUAUAGCCUUUGGUAGAUGUGAUGUUUGAGACCGAGGAUUGCAACGGAUACCCUUCAGGGCUAUUCGUCUGAUCUCUGAUACGUUGCCCUGAUGUUGAAAGCUUGCUUAUGAUGUUAGGGUAUUACGGUCAAAAGGUUAGAACGGAUUAGA
This 330-nucleotide ribosomal RNA is filed under the name uncultured Glomeraceae. Its description in RNAcentral is "partial large subunit ribosomal RNA". Lineage: Eukaryota; Fungi; Glomeromycota; Glomeromycetes; Glomerales; Glomeraceae. The record is from RNAcentral.